RNAcentral lists this ribosomal RNA (360 nucleotides) under uncultured bacterium. RNAcentral's name for it is "bacterial SSU rRNA". It matches the Rfam family "Bacterial small subunit ribosomal RNA", at positions 28 to 393 of the family's 1533-position model. The record is from RNAcentral.
GACGAACGCUGGCGGCGUGCUUAACACAUGCAAGUCGAGCGGUAAGGCCCUCGGGUACGACGAGCGGCGAACGGGUGAGUAACACGUGGGUGACCUGCCUCUAGCUCUGGGAUAAGCCUGGGAAACUGGGUCUAAUACCGGAUAUGACUCCACGGCGCAUGUUGUGGGGUGGAAAGCCUUGUGUGGCUAGAGAUGGGCCCGCGGCCUAUCAGCUUGUUGGUGGGGUGAGGCCUACCAAGGCGACGACGGGUAGCCGGCCUGAGAGGGCGACCGGCCACACUGGGACUGAGACACGGCCCAGACUCCUACGGGAGGCAGCAGUGGGGAAUCUUGCGCAAUGGGCGAAAGCCUGACGCAGCG